This 441-nucleotide unclassified non-coding RNA is filed under the name Skoua fertilis. Its description in RNAcentral is "sequence contains 18S rRNA gene, ITS1, 5.8S rRNA gene, ITS2". The stretch from base 80 to 233 matches the Rfam family "5.8S ribosomal RNA". Lineage: Eukaryota; Fungi; Ascomycota; Leotiomycetes; Myxotrichaceae. The record is from RNAcentral.
GUGCUGCCCGGGCUACGCCGCGCGGCGCACCACACUACUUGAUAUUAGUGUCGUCUGAGUCUAAAACAUAAUAGUUAAAACUAUUCAACAACGGAUCUCUUGGUUCUGGCAUCGAUGAAGAACGCAGCGAAAUGCGAUAAGUAAUGCGAAUUGCAGAAUUCAGUGAGUCAUCGAAUCUUUGAACGCACAUUGCGCCCCGUGGCAUUCCGCGGGGCAUGCCUGUUCGAGCGUCAUUUCAACCCUCAAGCUCUGCUUGGUGUUGGGCCCCGCCCCGUCUCUUCGCGGGCCGGCCCUAAAACCAGUGGCGGUGCCGCCGGCUCCUAAGCGUAGUAACUUUACACCUCGCUCCAGGCUCCCGGCGGUCGCUUGCCAGCAACCCCAACUCUCCAGGUUGACCUCGGAUCAGGUAGGGAUACCCGCUGAACUUAAGCAUAUCAAUAA